Non-coding RNA from Phascolarctos cinereus (koala), 1063 nucleotides. NCBI's taxonomy places the organism in Eukaryota, Metazoa, Chordata, Mammalia, Diprotodontia, Phascolarctidae. The record is from RefSeq and is a predicted model, not a curated record.
AAGAUCUGAAGAAAAAUCCUGGACAAGAUUUCCUCCCUGUGAAGAGUAAACACCUCCAGGCUAGGGUCUGCUUCAACAACAAUCUUCAAGCUGCUUAAACAACAAGCAGCAAGCCCUGGGGUUAGCUGGUUUGGGAGGCUGCCUUGGCCCCAGCCACAGGAACUUUUACCCCUGGGAUAGUGAGGGGAAUUGGACAUCUGAUCUGUGGAAGGAAGAUAGAGGGACCCUGUGCUGACCAGAAACGCCAGACCAAACUGUGCUGCAGAGAGUAGCCCGGGCGAGAAGGAACCAGCACGUGCCAGGUACAUCUGCAGCUGAGCUUCCUUUUGGUUUUGGCCCAGUAGCUUCAUUAGUGCUGGAGCUACUUCUAGUUGUCCUCCACUUUUCACGAGUAGCACGCUGGACACCUUCUGACCUGAGGGGCUCAUCUUUUGGUGCUGUAUCUUUUAUCAUCUUAAUACUACCUGUGGGGUUUUCUUGGCAAAAAUACUGAAGUGGUUUGUCAUUUCCCUCUUGGAUCACCUUUUGCCAAACUCUUUACUGACCUGUGCAUCUUGAGUAACCGUACACAGAAGAGCUCAUAGUUUCAUUGAGCUACAUAAGCCCCUCCACCAUGACAAGUACAAUAUUGAUAUUCGAUGGACAAGCUUCUCUUGGGCCUUUCUCUCCUUUGCCUCACAUGGACUAUGUCUGGGGGAAUCUGUAUGAAGUGUCGGAAAAAUCAUCGCAAAAAUAAUGCUACUGAGCCUCUGAAAUGUAGAACUUGCAACUUUAUACUUCCAGAUAGGAAGUGUACAGUUGGAUUUGGUACCUGUACGACAACAAGAAAUGAGAGCUGUUUAACUGAGAAAUUCUACUAUGUACAAUAUUGAUAUUCGAUGGACAAGCUUCUCUUGGGCCUUUCUCUCCUUUGCCUCACAUGGACUAUGUCUGGGGGAAUCUGUAUGAAGUGUCGGAAAAAUCAUCGCAAAAAUAAUGCUACUGAGCCUCUGAAAUGUAGAACUUGCAACUUUAUACUUCCAGAUAGGAAGUGUACAGUUGGAUUUGGUACCUGUACGACAAC